Molecule: small RNA, 647 nt
Filed under: Pan troglodytes (chimpanzee)
Lineage: Eukaryota; Metazoa; Chordata; Mammalia; Primates; Hominidae
Description: retained intron
Source: RNAcentral
GGAUAACGGCGGCGAGCGGACGGCUGCAUUUACGGGGUCUCCCGGAGGGCCAGAGUCGUGGCUUACAGAAGAGACGAAAUGUGGUCUGAGGGACGAUAUGAAUAUGAAAGAAUUCCGAGAGAACGAGCACCUCCUCGAAGUCAUCCCAGUGAUGAAUCUGGUUAUAGAUGGACAAGAGACGAUCAUUCUGCAAGCAGGCAACCUGAAUACAGGGACAUGAGAGAUGGCUUUAGAAGAAAAAGUUUCUACUCUUCCCAUUAUGCGAGAGAGCGGUCUCCUUAUAAAAGAGACAAUACUUUUUUCAGAGAAUCACCUGUUGGCCGAAAGGAUUCUCCACACAGCAGAUCUGGUUCCAGUGUCAGUAGCAGAAGCUACUCUCCAGAAAGGAGCAAAUCAUACUCUUUCCAUCAGUCUCAACAUAGAAGUAUGUAUUUUAAGACUUUAUUUUUUUCUCUCACAGUCUCCUCUGAUGAGAAUGUACUGAGUCAGAUUUCCUUCUAGGUGUAAGAGAUUUAUUUUUUAAACUUUUUAUUUGAAAAAUUUCAAACUUACAGAAAAGAUGGUAGAAUAGUAUAACAAACACCAUACACACACAUUUUUUUCAAACUAUUUGAAGUGGCAUUCUGCAUGAUACUUACCUUUAAUUU